This is a long non-coding RNA of Solanum pennellii, 1077 nucleotides long. RefSeq lists it as uncharacterized. The record is from RefSeq and is a predicted model, not a curated record. The transcript is spliced from 2 exons. NCBI's taxonomy places the organism in Eukaryota, Viridiplantae, Streptophyta, Magnoliopsida, Solanales, Solanaceae.
UUGAUAUUUCUAACUGUUUUUGUAACUAUCUUCCUAAGAAAAACUAAUUCAAUUACUUGUGAUGCUAAUACAUCGUGCUUUCAAUUCAUUGCCCUUCCUACUUAAUUGUUCUUACUGAAUUGGAAAGCAUUAAAACAUGAUUGUUUAUGUAUUCCCUUACUAUUUAAUGAUAGAGUAUCAUCUAUAAACUUUCUGUGUAACUUUUAUAUUGGAGUAAAAUGUUCCUUGCUGAGUACUUAGUGCAAGACUGGUAUGGUUUUUCCUUGUGCUGUAUGUUCCUCAACAUUGAUAUUUUUCAACUACUGUCCUGAAGGCUGUGGUCUGGUAGACAAAGUUCUGUACCAUAAAUCUAAUUUGAAGAUUCAAAAUAUAUUUAGUGUUGUAGCUUCUCUUUUGCCAAAUUCACCGAAGAUACAAUCACCGUGUUCAUUUGUGAUCCUUUCUAUUCAAAAGAAGUUUUGAGAUAUAGCAUAGCAAUCAUGAUCAUGUAGGAUUCCAGGUGUUUGAGGUGUGUAAUCGCUCCCUGCAAUUCCCUAUUGCUACGGAAAAUCUCAGUCUAACUAGGUGUGCAAUGUAAAUAAUGUUUCUCUUCUUUGGGGACAAUGUCUUGUAUGAAUGCAGGACAACAUUAACACAAGAGUCCUUUUCCAUAUUUUGUACUUGGUGCGCCGAGUUCAUUUUCUUUUGGAUGAAGUAAGAUGUUUCAUUAAUAGGUGUCAAGAAGAUGCAAAAGGUAUAAAAGAGAGAUGCAUCCAAAGAAACUAUAUUAGAUUUAGGGAGCUAACGAAGUCCAAAACAGAUCAGUGCUAUUUGCAGGGGUUAGGUGCUCCAACUAAUUAACCAGGCAUCUAGCUUUUGAAGAGUGGACGGAGUUGAGAUUCCAUCAAAACAUAUACGGUUCUAACUGUGUAAGAACACCAAAAAAUAUUCACAGGGAUCAUAAUCCGGAUCUCCUCUGACUUUAUAACUUCAUAAACUCCAAGAUUCAUAGACUUCUGUGACUCUCUGUGGGUUUUGUGUGUGGCAGAAAUGAAACGGAAUAAACAAUAAUCUAAGAAUUCAUCUCACUAAUCAACG